GAUGAACGCUGGCGGCGUGCCUAAUACAUGCAAGUCGAGCGAACAGACGAGAGUGCUUGCACUCUCUGACGUUAGCGGCGGACGGGUGAGUAACACGUGGGUGACCUACCUAUAAGACUGGGAUAACUUCGGGAAACCGGAGCUAAUACCGGAUAAUAUUUAGCUUCGCAUGAAGCAAUAGUGAAAGACGGUUCUGCUGUCACUUAUAGAUGGACCCGCGGUGUAUUAGCUAGUUGGUGAGGUAACGGCUCACCAAGGCAACGAUACAUAGCCGACCUGAGAGGGUGAUCGGCCACACUGGGACUGAGACACGGCCCAGACUCCUACGGGAGGCAGCAGUAGGGAAUCUUCCGCAAUGGACGAAAGUCUGACGGAGCAAUGCCGCGUGAGUGAAGAAGGUUUUCGGAUCGUAAAACUCUGUUGUAAGGGAAGAACAAGUACGUUAGUAACUGAACGUACCUUGACGGUACCUUACCAGAAAGCCACGGCUAACUACGUG
This 499-nucleotide ribosomal RNA is filed under the name uncultured bacterium. RNAcentral describes it as "partial 16S ribosomal RNA". It matches the Rfam family "Bacterial small subunit ribosomal RNA", at positions 28 to 507 of the family's 1533-position model. The record is from RNAcentral.